Long non-coding RNA from Poeciliopsis prolifica (blackstripe livebearer), 650 nucleotides. RefSeq lists it as uncharacterized. The transcript has 3 exons. NCBI's taxonomy places the organism in Eukaryota, Metazoa, Chordata, Actinopteri, Cyprinodontiformes, Poeciliidae. The record is from RefSeq and is a predicted model, not a curated record.
GACAUGUUUACAUGUAGAGAAUCAGAUGACAAUGUAAACAGAAGUAGCUUAAGAUUGGAUCAGGAUGAACAUGAGCUCCAAAUUUUUAUAUCGCUUUGAAGCAAGUCUUUAAACUUAAACAAAUUUCUCAACUUGAGCUUAACUUUCACUUCAUGUUCAUGACCUACAUAGGUACAAAAGUUAGAGCCCACAAUUAUUUUCUGUACACAGUGAACACCUGGAAAUGUGGCAAGAGCCUCGUUCACAUUUUUACAGAGUGCAUUGACAGCACUGAGAGUCGCCACAAAGAAGGUUUCUUCAGGUUGGCAUUGCCCCCCAGUAUUGACUUGUGUUGCCAUCACAUCAUCGCAUUGCUGUUUGUUCAUGGCAUCGAUGCGUCUGAGUCCAACAGUCUGACUGUCGAUAGACUUGGUUGUCUGAAGCACGGACUGCUGAAGAUCUUUGAUGGAGCAAAGUCUCUGAAGCUGAACUCCAAGUGGUCUGGGCUUGUUAUAUAGUAUCCAGGAAUUCAUGCUGGUGACGACGUGCUUCUGGAAGACCUCGGCUGCAUCGAGAGCGAGGAUCAGGACGGCCACAGCCGUCAUGGCUUCCUGUGGAGGGAAAAACAAUCCAAAUGCCUUCAGCUCAAGCGAUGCGACCACACAAUUUUU